UACGUAGGGUGCAAGCGUUAAUCGGAAUUACUGGGCGUAAAGCGUGCGCAGGCGGUUCGCCAAGUCAGGUGUGAAAUCCCCGGGCUUAACCUGGGAAUUGCGCUUGAAACUAGCGGGCUUGAGUGCGGCAGAGGGGGGUGGAAUUCCACGUGUAGCAGUGAAAUGCGUAGAGAUCUGGAGGAACACCAGUGGCGAAGGCGGCAUCCUGGCCCUGUCCUGACGCUCAGGGGCGAAAGCGUGGGGAGCAAACCGG
RNAcentral lists this ribosomal RNA (253 nucleotides) under uncultured bacterium. RNAcentral describes it as "partial 16S ribosomal RNA". It matches the Rfam family "Bacterial small subunit ribosomal RNA", at positions 524 to 776 of the family's 1533-position model. The record is from RNAcentral.